This 58-nucleotide transfer RNA is filed under the name Neotoma lepida (desert woodrat). It matches the Rfam family "tRNA", at positions 8 to 63 of the family's 71-position model. From Rfam's summary of the family: Transfer RNA (tRNA) molecules are approximately 80 nucleotides in length. Their secondary structure includes four short double-helical elements and three loops (D, anti-codon, and T loops). The record is from Rfam by way of RNAcentral. Lineage: Eukaryota; Metazoa; Chordata; Mammalia; Rodentia; Cricetidae.
UAGCUCAGUCGGUAGAGCAUGAGAUUCUUAAUCUCAGGUUCGUGGGUUCGUGUCCCAC